ACGCCGGCGCCAGCCCGCCCUCCGUCGCACGUGACGUCAGCACGUCAUGUAGCCUGGCCACGCCCCCAUCAGUUUCUAUAAAGGCGGGUUCGAAGCGGGCGCAGUUUAGGGGCGACCAUGCUCUCCCCUGUUCGGUAGUUCAGUGUGGUUUGUGCAGGUGUAGUGAGCGAAGCGUGACCUCGCGGAAAAGGCGCGUGAGAUCGGCUUUGGAAAACUACUGCUGAACAGGAAACCAAACAUGCCCAUAACCGAGAGAAGCCGCUAGUCUCUCCUGUGUGACUCCUUCACAAGAACUUAGGCAUCUCAAGCUGACUGACCCCACCUGCUCUACACAAGUUUUUAAAUUUGAUAUCCAAUGCUGAUCGCCAGUUUGCCAUCCAAUGCCCUUGUCAUUAGAGGGUCACAGUCAGGGGUGCCGAGCAGUACACUGGGCCAGAUGGGAUCCGAUAAGGUGCAUCCGGGUAAGAACUAGGAGAAAGUAUGAACCAAUUUUUACAUUCGUGGGCUCCAUAGAUAAGUAUGGUUUCAUAAGCACUUUUGACAAAAGCUAAAAACUGAACUCUUUUUCCAGGUGUACAAUCUAUUGAGUCAUCCCCCAUGGCAAAAUUCCCAGCACAUGAUAGGAGGCUUUGUGCAGCUGGCUUUGGGAAAAGGAAUGUGAUACGGUCCUCUCUCCAAACUAUAGUCUCAUUUUCUUGUAAGAACUGAAUGCUUUUGUAAGGAAAAUGCAUUCAAAUAAUAAACUCACUUCCAUCUAA
Mesocricetus auratus (golden hamster) is the source of this 758-nucleotide long non-coding RNA. RefSeq lists it as uncharacterized. The record is from RefSeq and is a predicted model, not a curated record. The transcript has 2 exons. Lineage: Eukaryota; Metazoa; Chordata; Mammalia; Rodentia; Cricetidae.